Molecule: ribosomal RNA, 404 nt
Filed under: Actinomycetes bacterium
Lineage: Bacteria; Bacillati; Actinomycetota; Actinomycetes
Description: Actinobacteria bacterium partial 16S ribosomal RNA
Rfam family: Bacterial small subunit ribosomal RNA
Source: RNAcentral
UGGGGAAUAUUGGACAAUGGGCGCAAGCCUGAUCCAGCCAUGCCGCGUGAGUGAUGAAGGCCCUAGGGUUGUAAAGCUCUUUCACCGGUGAAGAUAAUGACGGUAACCGGAGAAGAAGCCCCGGCUAACUUCGUGCCAGCAGCCGCGGUAAUACGAAGGGGGCUAGCGUUGUUCGGAUUUACUGGGCGUAAAGCGCACGUAGGAGGACUUUUAAGUCAGUGGUGAAAUCCCGGGGCGCAACCCCGGAACUGCCUUUGAUACUGGAAGUCUUGAGUAUGGUAGAGGUGAGUGGAAUUCCGAGUGUAGAGGUGAAAUUCGUAGAUAUUCGGAGGAACACCAGUGGCGAAGGCGGCUCACUGGACCAUUACUGACGCUGAGAUGCGAAAGCGUGGGGAGCAAACAGG